UGUGCAAAGGUAGCAUAAUCAUUAGUCUUGUAAUUUAGGACUGGAAUGAAUGGUUUAACUAAAUAAUCAUGUCUCAUUAUUAUAUUUCAAAUUUUAUAUUUUAGUAAAAAAGCUAAAAUUCAUUUUAAAGACAAGAAGACCCUAUUAAGCUUUAUAAUUAUAAUUUAAUAUCAAUAUAAAUUAAAUAUUAUUUUACUGGGGCAGUAUAUAGAUAAAAUUUUAUUUUGAUAAUAUGAAUUUAACACUUGAAAAACCAAAAAUUUUUUAAUUAAGAAUAAGUUACUAUAGGGAUAACAGCAUAAUUUNCUUUAAGAGUUCUUAUCAUCAAGAAAGUUUGUGACCUCGAUGNGGGAUUAAGAUACCNAUUUCAUGCAAUAAUAACNAUANGGAAGUCUG
RNAcentral lists this ribosomal RNA (396 nucleotides) under Euscorpius sp. Denizli. RNAcentral describes it as "partial 16S ribosomal RNA". The record is from RNAcentral. Lineage: Eukaryota; Metazoa; Arthropoda; Arachnida; Scorpiones; Euscorpiidae.